GUACUGUCAUGGCCGCGUAGUUCAGCAGAUCGUCUCCUGUGAGAGGUACCAUUAGUCUGAUGUGUCU
This is a small nucleolar RNA of Myotis lucifugus (little brown bat), 67 nucleotides long. Ensembl annotates it as small nucleolar RNA SNORD77. Lineage: Eukaryota; Metazoa; Chordata; Mammalia; Chiroptera; Vespertilionidae. The record is from Ensembl.